RNAcentral lists this ribosomal RNA (311 nucleotides) under uncultured eukaryote. Its description in RNAcentral is "partial 18S ribosomal RNA". It matches the Rfam family "Eukaryotic small subunit ribosomal RNA", at positions 1470 to 1796 of the family's 1831-position model. The record is from RNAcentral.
CCCCUAGACGUUCUGGGCUGCACGCGCGCUACAAUAAUACGCACAGCGAGUAUCACCGAGCUCGAAAGGGCAAGGUAAACAAUAGAAAAGGUACUGUAAUGGUUAUAGAUCCUUGUAAUUAUUGAUCUUCAACGAGGAAUUCCUAGUAGGUAUGUGUCAUCAUCACGCACUGAUUACGUCCCUGCCCUUUGUACACACCGCCCGUCGCUCCUACCGAUUGGGUGAGCCGAUGAAACUCUCGGAUGUAGGCUAUUCAUAGCCCGCAGAAGAGAUUUGAAUCGUAGCGCUUAGAGGAAGGAGAAGUCGUAACA